RNAcentral lists this ribosomal RNA (2902 nucleotides) under Klebsiella pneumoniae. Its description in RNAcentral is "23S ribosomal RNA". It matches the Rfam family "Bacterial large subunit ribosomal RNA". Lineage: Bacteria; Pseudomonadati; Pseudomonadota; Gammaproteobacteria; Enterobacterales; Enterobacteriaceae. The record is from RNAcentral.
GGUUAAGCGACUAAGCGUACACGGUGGAUGCCCUGGCAGUCAGAGGCGAUGAAGGACGUGCUAAUCUGCGAAAAGCGUCGGUAAGGUGAUAUGAACCGUUAUAACCGGCGAUGUCCGAAUGGGGAAACCCAGUGUGAUUCGUCACACUAUCGUUAACUGAAUACAUAGGUUAACGAGGCGAACCGGGGGAACUGAAACAUCUAAGUACCCCGAGGAAAAGAAAUCAACCGAGAUUCCCCCAGUAGCGGCGAGCGAACGGGGAGCAGCCCAGAGUCUGAAUCAGCUUGUGUGUUAGUGGAACGGUCUGGAAAGUCCGACGGUACAGGGUGAUAGUCCCGUACACCAAAAUGCACAGGUUGUGAACUCGAAGAGUAGGGCGGGACACGUGGUAUCCUGUCUGAAUAUGGGGGGACCAUCCUCCAAGGCUAAAUACUCCUGACUGACCGAUAGUGAACCAGUACCGUGAGGGAAAGGCGAAAAGAACCCCGGCGAGGGGAGUGAAAAAGAACCUGAAACCGUGUACGUACAAGCAGUGGGAGCACCUUCGGGUGUGACUGCGUACCUUUUGUAUAAUGGGUCAGCGACUUAUAUUCUGUAGCAAGGUUAACCGUAUAGGGGAGCCGCAGGGAAACCGAGUCUUAACUGGGCGUUAAGUUGCAGGGUAUAGACCCGAAACCCGGUGAUCUAGCCAUGGGCAGGUUGAAGGUUGGGUAACACUAACUGGAGGACCGAACCGACUAAUGUUGAAAAAUUAGCGGAUGACUUGUGGCUGGGGGUGAAAGGCCAAUCAAACCGGGAGAUAGCUGGUUCUCCCCGAAAGCUAUUUAGGUAGCGCCUCGUGAACUCAUCUUCGGGGGUAGAGCACUGUUUCGGCUAGGGGGUCAUCCCGACUUACCAACCCGAUGCAAACUACGAAUACCGAAGAAUGUUAUCACGGGAGACACACGGCGGGUGCUAACGUCCGUCGUGAAGAGGGAAACAACCCAGACCGCCAGCUAAGGUCCCAAAGUCAUGGUUAAGUGGGAAACGAUGUGGGAAGGCACAGACAGCCAGGAUGUUGGCUUAGAAGCAGCCAUCAUUUAAAGAAAGCGUAAUAGCUCACUGGUCGAGUCGGCCUGCGCGGAAGAUGUAACGGGGCUAAACCAUGCACCGAAGCUGCGGCAGCGACACUAUGUGUUGUUGGGUAGGGGAGCGUUCUGUAAGCCUGCGAAGGUGUGCUGUGAGGCAUGCUGGAGGUAUCAGAAGUGCGAAUGCUGACAUAAGUAACGAUAAAGCGGGUGAAAAGCCCGCUCGCCGGAAGACCAAGGGUUCCUGUCCAACGUUAAUCGGGGCAGGGUGAGUCGACCCCUAAGGCGAGGCCGAAAGGCGUAGUCGAUGGGAAACAGGUUAAUAUUCCUGUACUUGGUGUUACUGCGAAGGGGGGACGGAGAAGGCUAUGUUAGCCGGGCGACGGUUGUCCCGGUUUAAGCAUGUAGGCUGGUUGUCCAGGCAAAUCCGGAUAAUCAAGGCUGAGGUGUGAUGACGAGGCACUACGGUGCUGAAGUAACAAAUGCCCUGCUUCCAGGAAAAGCCUCUAAGCAUCAGGUAACAUCAAAUCGUACCCCAAACCGACACAGGUGGUCAGGUAGAGAAUACCAAGGCGCUUGAGAGAACUCGGGUGAAGGAACUAGGCAAAAUGGUGCCGUAACUUCGGGAGAAGGCACGCUGGUGUGUAGGUGAAGUCCCUGCGGAUGGAGCUGAGACCAGUCGAAGAUACCAGCUGGCUGCAACUGUUUAUUAAAAACACAGCACUGUGCAAACACGAAAGUGGACGUAUACGGUGUGACGCCUGCCCGGUGCCGGAAGGUUAAUUGAUGGGGUUAUCCGUAAGGAGAAGCUCUUGAUCGAAGCCCCGGUAAACGGCGGCCGUAACUAUAACGGUCCUAAGGUAGCGAAAUUCCUUGUCGGGUAAGUUCCGACCUGCACGAAUGGCGUAAUGAUGGCCAGGCUGUCUCCACCCGAGACUCAGUGAAAUUGAACUCGCUGUGAAGAUGCAGUGUACCCGCGGCAAGACGGAAAGACCCCGUGAACCUUUACUAUAGCUUGACACUGAACAUUGAGCCUUGAUGUGUAGGAUAGGUGGGAGGCUUUGAAGCGUGGACGCCAGUCUGCGUGGAGCCAACCUUGAAAUACCACCCUUUAAUGUUUGAUGUUCUAACGUUGGCCCCUGACCGGGGUUGCGGACAGUGUCUGGUGGGUAGUUUGACUGGGGCGGUCUCCUCCUAAAGCGUAACGGAGGAGCACGAAGGUUAGCUAAUCCUGGUCGGACAUCAGGAGGUUAGUGCAAUGGCAUAAGCUAGCUUGACUGCGAGCGUGACGGCGCGAGCAGGUGCGAAAGCAGGUCAUAGUGAUCCGGUGGUUCUGAAUGGAAGGGCCAUCGCUCAACGGAUAAAAGGUACUCCGGGGAUAACAGGCUGAUACCGCCCAAGAGUUCAUAUCGACGGCGGUGUUUGGCACCUCGAUGUCGGCUCAUCACAUCCUGGGGCUGAAGUAGGUCCCAAGGGUAUGGCUGUUCGCCAUUUAAAGUGGUACGCGAGCUGGGUUUAGAACGUCGUGAGACAGUUCGGUCCCUAUCUGCCGUGGGCGCUGGAGAAUUGAGGGGGGCUGCUCCUAGUACGAGAGGACCGGAGUGGACGCAUCACUGGUGUUCGGGUUGUCAUGCCAAUGGCACUGCCCGGUAGCUAAAUGCGGAAGAGAUAAGUGCUGAAAGCAUCUAAGCACGAAACUUGCCCCGAGAUGAGUUCUCCCUGAGACUUUAAGUCUCCUGAAGGAACGUUGAAGACGACGACGUUGAUAGGCCGGGUGUGUAAGCGCAGCGAUGCGUUGAGCUAACCGGUACUAAUGAACCGUGAGGCUUAACCUU